UACCACCCUUUAAUGUUUGAUGUUCUAACGUGGACCCGUGAUCCGGGUUGCGGACAGUGUCUGGUGGGUAGUUUGACUGGGGCGGUCUCCUCCUAAAGAGUAACGGAGGAGCACGAAGGUUGGCUAAUCCUGGUCGGACAUCAGGAGGUUAGUGCAAUGGCAUAAGCCAGCUUGACUGCGAGCGUGACGGCGCGAGCAGGUGCGAAAGCAGGUCAUAGUGAUCCGGUGGUUCUGAAUGGAAGGGCCAUCGCUCAACGGAUAAAAGGUACUCCGGGGAUAACAGGCUGAUACCGCCCAAGAGUUCAUAUCGACGGCGGUGUUUGGCACCUCGAUGUCGGCUCAUCACAUCCUGGGGCUGAAGUAGGUCCCAAGGGUAUGGCUGUUCGCCAUUUAAAGUGGUACGCGAGCUGGGUUUAGAACGUCGUGAGACAGUUCGGUCCCUAUCUGCCGUGGGCGCUGGAGAACUGAGGGGGGCUGCUCCUAGUACGAGAGGACCGGAGUGGACGCAUCACUGGUGUUCGGGUUGUCAUGCCAAUGGCACU
Molecule: ribosomal RNA, 542 nt
Filed under: Salmonella enterica subsp. enterica serovar Anatum
Lineage: Bacteria; Pseudomonadati; Pseudomonadota; Gammaproteobacteria; Enterobacterales; Enterobacteriaceae
Description: partial 23S ribosomal RNA
Rfam family: Bacterial large subunit ribosomal RNA
Source: RNAcentral